AUUGAACGCUGGCGGCAGGCCUAACACAUGCAAGUCGAACGAGUGGCGGACGGGUGAGUAAUGUCUGGGAAACGGCCUGAUGGAGGGGGAUAACUACUGGAAACGGUAGCUAAUACCGCAUACCAUCGGAUGAGCCCAGAUGGGAUUAGAUAGUAGGUGGGGUAAUGGCUCACCUAGGCGACGAUCCCUAGCUGGUCUGAGAGGAUGACCGUCCACACUGGAACUGUGACACGGUCCAGCCUCCUACGGAGGCCAGCAGUGGGAAAUAUUGCACAAUGGGCGCAAGCCUGAUGCAUCCAUGCCGCGUGUAUGAAGAAGGCCUUCGGGUUGUAAAAUACUUUCAGCGGGGAGGCGUUACCCGCAGAAGAAGCACCGGCUAAAUCCGUGCCAGCAGCCGCGGUAAUUC
This 406-nucleotide ribosomal RNA is filed under the name uncultured bacterium. RNAcentral describes it as "partial 16S ribosomal RNA". It matches the Rfam family "Bacterial small subunit ribosomal RNA", at positions 30 to 526 of the family's 1533-position model. The record is from RNAcentral.